RNAcentral lists this ribosomal RNA (1372 nucleotides) under uncultured bacterium. Its description in RNAcentral is "bacterial SSU rRNA". It matches the Rfam family "Bacterial small subunit ribosomal RNA", at positions 28 to 1381 of the family's 1533-position model. The record is from RNAcentral.
GAUGAACGCUGGCGGCGUGCCUAAUACAUGCAAGUCGAGCGAACAGACGAGGAGCUUACUCCUCUGACGUUAGCGGCGGACGGGUGAGUAACACGUGGAUAACCUACCUAUAAGACUGGGAUAACUUCGGGAAACCGGAGCUAAUACCGGAUAACAUGUUGAACCGCAUGGUUCAACAGUGAAAGACGGUCUUGCUGUCACUUAUAGAUGGAUCCGCGUCGCAUUAGCUAGUUGGUAAGGUAACGGCUUACCAAGGCAACGAUGCGUAGCCGACCUGAGAGGGUGAUCGGCCACACUGGAACUGAGACACGGUCCAGACUCCUACGGGAGGCAGCAGUAGGGAAUCUUCCGCAAUGGGCGAAAGCCUGACGGAGCAACGCCGCGUGAGUGAAGAAGGUCUUCGGAUCGUAAAACUCUGUUAUUAGGGAAGAACAAAUGUGUAAGUAACUAUGCACGUCUUGACGGUACCUAAUCAGAAAGCCACGGCUAACUACGUGCCAGCAGCCGCGGUAAUACGUAGGUGGCAAGCGUUAUCCGGAAUUAUUGGGCGUAAAGCGCGCGUAGGCGGUUUUUUAAGUCUGAUGUGAAAGCCCACGGCUCAACCGUGGAGGGUCAUUGGAAACUGGAAAACUUGAGUGCAGAAGAGGAAAGUGGAAUUCCAUGUGUAGCGGUGAAAUGCGCAGAGAUAUGGAGGAACACCAGUGGCAAAGGCGACUUUCUGGUCUGUAACUGACGCUGAUGUGCGAAAGCGUGGGGAUCAAACAGGAUUAGAUACCCUGGUAGUCCACGCCGUAAACGAUGAGUGCUAAGUGUUAGGGGGUUUCCGCCCCUUAGUGCUGCAGCUAACGCAUUAAGCACUCCGCCUGGGGAGUACGACCGCAAGGUUGAAACUCAAAGGAAUUGACGGGGACCCGCACAAGCGGUGGAGCAUGUGGUUUAAUUCGAAGCAACGCGAAGAACCUUACCAAAUCUUGACAUCCUCUGACCCCUCUAGAGAUAGAGUUUUCCCCUUCGGGGGACAGAGUGACAGGUGGUGCAUGGUUGUCGUCAGCUCGUGUCGUGAGAUGUUGGGUUAAGUCCCGCGACGAGCGCAACCCUUAAGCUUAGUUGCCAUCAUUAAGUUGGGCACUCUAAGUUGACUGCCGGUGACAAACCGGAGGAAGGUGGGGAUGACGUCAAAUCAUCAUGCCCCUUAUGAUUUGGGCUACACACGUGCUACAAUGGACAAUACAAAGGGUAGCGAAACCGCGAGGUCAAGCAAAUCCCAUAAAGUUGUUCUCAGUUCGGAUUGUAGUCUGCAACUCGACUACAUGAAGCUGGAAUCGCUAGUAAUCGUAGAUCAGCAUGCUACGGUGAAUACGUUCCCGGGUCU